This 2875-nucleotide ribosomal RNA is filed under the name Vibrio cholerae. Its description in RNAcentral is "bacterial LSU rRNA". It matches the Rfam family "Bacterial large subunit ribosomal RNA". The record is from RNAcentral. Lineage: Bacteria; Pseudomonadati; Pseudomonadota; Gammaproteobacteria; Vibrionales; Vibrionaceae.
UUAAGUGACUAAGCGUACACGGUGGAUGCCUGGGCAGUCAGAGGCGAUGAAGGACGUACUAACUUGCGAUAAGCGCAGAUAAGGCAGUAAGAGCCGUUUGAGUCUGCGAUUUCCGAAUGGGGAAACCCAACUGCAUAAGCAGUUACUGUUAACUGAAUACAUAGGUUAACAGAGGCAAACCGGGGGAACUGAAACAUCUAAGUACCCCGAGGAGAAGAAAUCAACCGAGAUUCCGGUAGUAGCGGCGAGCGAACCUGGAUUAGCCCUUAAGCACUCGGUGAAGUAGGUGAACAAGCUGGAAAGCUUGGCGAUACAGGGUGAUAGCCCCGUAACCGACGCUUCAUCGAGCGUGAAAUCGAGUAGGGCGGGACACGUGAUAUCCUGUCUGAAUAUGGGGGGACCAUCCUCCAAGGCUAAAUACUCCUGACUGACCGAUAGUGAACCAGUACCGUGAGGGAAAGGCGAAAAGAACCCCUGUGAGGGAGUGAAAUAGAACCUGAAACCGUGUACGUACCAAGCAGUAGGAGCACCUUCGUGGUGUGACUGCGUACCUUUUGUAUAAUGGGUCAGCGACUUAUAUUCAGUGGCAAGGUUAACCGUAUAGGGGAGCCGUAGCGAAAGCGAGUCUUAACUGGGCGCUCAGUCUCUGGAUAUAGACCCGAAACCGGGUGAUCUAGCCAUGGGCAGGUUGAAGGUUGAGUAACAUCAACUGGAGGACCGAACGACUAAUGUUGAAAAAUUAGCGGAUGACUUGUGGCUAGGGGUGAAAGGCCAAUCAAACUCGGAGAUAGCUGGUUCUCCCCGAAAGCUAUUUAGGUAGCGCCUCGGACGAAUACUACUGGGGGUAGAGCACUGUUAAGGCUAGGGGGUCAUCCCGACUUACCAACCCUUUGCAAACUCGAAUACCAGUAAGUACUAUCCGGGAGACACACGGCGGGUGCUAACGUCCGUCGUGGAGAGGGAAACAACCCAGACCGCCAGCUAAGGUCCCAAAGUAUUGCUAAGUGGGAAACGAUGUGGGAAGGCUCAGACAGCUAGGAUGUUGGCUUAGAAGCAGCCAUCAUUUAAAGAAAGCGUAAUAGCUCACUAGUCGAGUCGGCCUGCGCGGAAGAUGUAACGGGCUAAGCAAUACACCGAAGCUGCGGCAAUGUCUUUUAGACAUUGGGUAGGGGAGCGUUCUGUAAGCCGUUGAAGGUGAAUCGUAAGGUUUGCUGGAGGUAUCAGAAGUGCGAAUGCUGACAUGAGUAACGACAAAGGGGUGAAAAACCUCCUCGCCGGAAGACCAAGGGUUCCUGUCCAACGUUAAUCGGGGCAGGGUGAGUCGACCCCUAAGGUGAGGCCGAAAGGCGUAAUCGAUGGGAAACGGGUUAAUAUUCCCGUACUUCUGACUAUUGCGAUGGGGGGACGGAGAAGGCUAGGUGGGCCAGGCGACGGUUGUCCUGGUUCAAGUGCGUAGGCUUGAGAGUUAGGUAAAUCCGGCUCUCUCUAAGGCUGAGACACGACGUCGAGCUACUACGGUAGUGAAGUCAUUGAUGCCAUGCUUCCAGGAAAAGCCUCUAAGUUCAGAUAGUCAGGAAUCGUACCCCAAACCGACACAGGUGGUCGGGUAGAGAAUACCAAGGCGCUUGAGAGAACUCGGGUGAAGGAACUAGGCAAAAUGGUACCGUAACUUCGGGAGAAGGUACGCUCUUGAUGGUGAAGUCCUCGCGGAUGGAGCUGACGAGAGUCGCAGAUACCAGGUGGCUGCAACUGUUUAUAAAAACACAGCACUGUGCAAAAUCGCAAGAUGACGUAUACGGUGUGACGCCUGCCCGGUGCCGGAAGGUUAAUUGAUGGGGGUUAGCGCAAGCGAAGCUCUUGAUCGAAGCCCCGGUAAACGGCGGCCGUAACUAUAACGGUCCUAAGGUAGCGAAAUUCCUUGUCGGGUAAGUUCCGACCUGCACGAAUGGCGUAAUGAUGGCCACGCUGUCUCCACCCGAGACUCAGUGAAAUUGAAAUCGCUGUGAAGAUGCAGUGUACCGCGGCUAGACGGAAAGACCCGUGAACCUUUACUACAGCUUGGCACUGAACAUUGAACCUACAUGUGUAGGAUAGGUGGGAGGCUAUGAAGACGUGACGCCAGUUGCGUUGGAGCCGUCCUUGAAAUACCACCCUUGUAUGUUUGAUGUUCUAACUUAGACCCGUUAUCCGGGUUGAGGACAGUGCCUGGUGGGUAGUUUGACUGGGCGGUCUCCUCCCAAAGAGUAACGGAGGAGCACGAAGGUGGGCUAAUCACGGUUGGACAUCGUGAGGUUAGUGCAAUGGCAUAAGCCCGCUUAACUGCGAGAAUGACGGUUCGAGCAGGUGCGAAAGCAGGUCAUAGUGAUCCGGUGGUUCUGUAUGGAAGGGCCAUCGCUCAACGGAUAAAAGGUACUCCGGGGAUAACAGGCUGAUACGCCCAAGAGUUCAUAUCGACGGCGUGUUUGGCACCUCGAUGUCGGCUCAUCACAUCCUGGGGCUGAAGUCGGUCCCAAGGGUAUGGCUGUUUCGCCAUUUAAAGUGGUACGCGAGCUGGGUUUAGAACGUCGUGAGACAGUUCGGUCCCUAUCUGCCGUGGGCGUUGGAAGAUUGAAGGGGGCUGCUCCUAGUACGAGAGGACCGGAGUGGACGAACCUCUGGUGUUCGGUUGUGUCGCCAGACGCAUUGCCCGGUAGCUAAGUUCGGAAUUGAUAAGCGCUGAAAGCAUCUAAGCGCGAAGCGAGCCCUGAGAUGAGUCUUCCCUGACAGUUUAACUGUCCUAAAGGGUUGUUCGAGACUAGAACGUUGAUAGGCAGGGUGUGUAAGCGUUGUGAGGCGUUGAGCUAACCUGUACUAAUUGCCCGUGAGGCUUAACCAU